This 254-nucleotide ribosomal RNA is filed under the name uncultured bacterium. RNAcentral describes it as "partial 16S ribosomal RNA". It matches the Rfam family "Bacterial small subunit ribosomal RNA", at positions 524 to 776 of the family's 1533-position model. The record is from RNAcentral.
UACAUGGGGUGCAAACGUUGCUCGGAAUUAUUGGGCGUAAAGCGCGCGUAGGCGGUUGCUUAUGUCGGAUGUGAAAGCCCUCGGCUCAACUGAGGAAGUGCAUCCGAAACUGGGCAGCUAGAGUACUAAAGAGGGUCGCGGAAUUCCCGGUGUAGAGGUGAAAUUCGUAGAUAUCGGGAGGAACACCGGUGGCGAAGGCGGCUUCCUGGACCGAUUACUGACGCUGAGGCGCGAAAGCGUGGGGAGCAAACAGG